RNA transcript from Benincasa hispida (wax gourd), 1495 nucleotides. It is a transcript of the gene named Transducin/WD40 repeat-like superfamily protein, with no coding region annotated. NCBI's taxonomy places the organism in Eukaryota, Viridiplantae, Streptophyta, Magnoliopsida, Cucurbitales, Cucurbitaceae. The record is from RefSeq and is a predicted model, not a curated record.
UAAUCUCAUAUCAUGAUAACGUCAGCAGAAGGUCACUGAAAGAAGCAGACACUAAAACCAGAGAAGAAGAAGUAUGAGCGUCUCAGAAUUACCGACGAAGGAGAGCAAUGUCCUGAAAGGGCAUGAAGGUGGAGUUCUAGCUGCAAGGUUCAAUAGCGAUGGCAAUUACUGCCUCAGCUGUGGCAAGGACCGCACAAUUCGCCUCUGGAAUCCUCACCGUGGUAUUCACAUCAAGACCUACAAAUCACAUGGCCGUGAAGUCCGCGACGUCCAUGUCACCCCAGACAACUCCAAGUUAUGUUCAUGCGGCGGUGAUCGCCAAGUCUUCUAUUGGGAUGUUUCUACAGGUCGCGUCAUUCGAAAAUUUCGUGGCCAUGAUGGCGAGGUGAAUGCUGUGAAAUUUAAUGAGUAUGCUUCUGUCGUAGUCUCAGCAGGCUAUGAUCAAUCAUUGCGUGCUUGGGACUGCAGAUCUCAUAGCACUGAGCCAAUUCAGAUCAUUGAUACAUUUUCAGACAGUGUAAUGUCUGUUUGCUUAACAAAAAGUGAAAUAAUUGGAGGAAGUGUUGACGGCACUGUUCGAACAUUUGAUAUGCGAAUUGGUAGAGAAAUAUCGGAUAACUUGGGGCAUCCUGUAAAUUGUAUCUCCAUGUCCAACGAUGCUAAUUGCAUAUUAGCUAGUUGCUUAGAUUCAACUCUCCGUCUAUUGGACAGGUCUUCUGGUGAGCUAUUACAAGAAUAUAAGGGCCAUACUUGUAAGUCUUACAAGUUGGAUUGCUGUCUUACCAAUACUGAUGCACAUGUAACUGGCGGAUCUGAGGAUGGAUUCAUUUAUUUCUGGGAUUUAGUAGAUGCAUCUGUUGUCUCCAAGUUUCGAGCUCAUUCCUCUGUUGUGACGAGUGUGAGUUACCACCCGAAAGAUAAAUGUAUGAUAACUGCCUCCGUAGAUGGGACGAUUCGGGUUUGGAAGAAUGAGAGCCAAUAGGUAGAAGAACACGAAUUUCCUCACCUUAUUAAUGCACAUUAUGUUCCGAGGUUCUCCAGAAUGCCAAACAUAAUACCUGGUUGGUUUUUGACUGACCCAAAGCCUCUCUAACUUUGUCCUUGAGUUUCAACCAAGUUCAUAAAGUUGUUUGUUGACCAUUCCAAUUCCAAACUCCGAUCAUGAAACCAUAAUUUGUAAUUUAUACGACAUUUUUUGACAUUAAUGUAAUGCUCAUCCAUUGAUCCUUAGAAUUGAAGUUUUUAUUCUUUUUUUUAUCAGUCUCUGAAUCUAACAAUCAGAUCAGCUGGUAAAGAAUUGAGAAAGAGGCAAUAAGCUAUGUUAAGACAAUUUGUUUCUCCACAAAAUAAAAGAAAUUGCAGAAACAUAUUGAUUACAAAGCCAAAACAAGGUUGAUACCUUAAAUUUGGUGUACCAAAUUUAUAAGAAUGAAGUGGCAUUGGCUUACACUGACAAAAGUAAAUGAAGAUUGUCUAGAACACAAGUUAGUAGUUG